RNAcentral lists this small RNA (3452 nucleotides) under Pongo abelii (Sumatran orangutan). RNAcentral's name for it is "processed transcript". The record is from RNAcentral. Lineage: Eukaryota; Metazoa; Chordata; Mammalia; Primates; Hominidae.
ACGACAGAGCCCGUGAGCCUCAGGAUGAGGGCUGCCCUUGAGCAGUUGGGAUGGAAAGGAGAGAAGACUUGAGAGACUGUUUAGAGGAGGAAUGAACAGAGUUGGUGAGUGUCCGUGUUUAGGGAAUAGAGAGGAGCCAGAGAACUUUGUAAUGAAGCUUUUCCCUGGGAUACAGAAAGCAGGAAUUUUAAGCAGAUAAAAAAAGAAUUGUGAAGAAGCAAGGCUAAUGUCUAUCCAUUAGCCUAUGAAAAACCUGUAAUUGGACCCUCUCUUCAGUCAUCGUAACAGAAUGUUGCCAUGAGAGCUGCGAGGUGAAUUGCACUGUGCCAUCCUUGUUUUUGAAGCUACCCAGUAAUUCUUAUUUAGCAACUGGGGCAGUGCUGCUCUCCCUGAUUCCUCUUCGAGUGGACCUAUAUUCAGAGAAAAAAAUGCUGUUUUUUUCUGAAACUGGGUUGGUGUUGAUUCAGACCAAGAACACUUGGGUGUUCCUGAAAAUGAAAGGAGAACUACCAAAGCAGAGAGUGCUUGGCUUUUCCGGAUGUGGUACAACUUUGAUCAUAACUAUCUGAAGCCUCUGCUGACUCACAGCGGGCCUCCGCUGACAACAACACUCCCUGCCUGCUGUGGACCCAUCGCCAGGUGCCUCACCAGCCCCCAGGCUUACGAAAACCAGGAACAGUUGAAAGAUGAUGAUUCUGAUCUUAUUCUCAAUGAUGGUGACAUCAGUUUGACAUAUGGAGAUUCUACUGUGAACACUGAACCGGCCACAUCCAGCGCCCCAAGGAGAUUUAUGGGAAACAGUUCUGAAGAUGCCUUGGAUCGGGAGCUUGCAUUUGGGGACCAUGAACUGGUCAUUCGAGGAACACGCCUGGUUCUUCCAAUGGAUGAUUCUGAACCCCCGCUAAAUUUGUUAGAUAAUACGAGACACGGUCCAGCCUAAGCUUACUAAUACUCACUUAGUGAUUUGUAAAAUUUGCACAUGUGAUUGUGAAGAAAUUUGUACUACCUAAAAGUCCCAGUGCAUGUCUCUGAAUGUGUAAGCUAUAUAAAUGCUAUUUAUAUGGCGUAGAAAGAAUAUAAAUAUCCUGUACACGGCAGAUUGUGAACAAACUAUAUUCCUUUAAGUUUUCCUGGUUGCACUCUGUAGACUGGAUCUGUUUUAGGAAGUUACUUUCACAGUGAUGUUGUGUGUUCUGUUAGUUUUAUGUCUCAGUUAAAGUAUAAAACGUGACAGAUUUUCUCUUUCUUAAACUUACCUGACACUUAACCAGAGUACCAAGUUCUCAUGAUGUGAAUUAAUUUUUUUGUGUGCUAGGGGAGGGAGAGUGAGGAGGGAGUGUUAUUUCCUUGGGAACCUAGGGAGGAGAGGUUCCUUUGUUGGGAAACUUUUGUUGAUAGCUGCUGCCUUUGUCCUGACCGUUUUCUUUCCCGUUUCUCUGGUGGCCUGUUGUGGUGCAACGAGCUGAUGGCAUUUGAUCUUGCCCCAUUCAGGUUGGGGAGUGAAGUGUGGGGACCCUUUUCCCCCACUUGCUGUGAAAGCACAGAUUCAUUGACUACAGUACACUGUUGUUCAGAAAAGAAGGCUGCAAAUGACUUCUGAGACUUUAUGUCUUUUCUUCCAGACCAAGACCGUAGAAGGAGUCACAUCUAGCCGGCUUAGCCAAAGUACAGGUGUAUAUAGUUCAGGGCACUUGAUUUAGAUUUGGAGGGGCUGGGGUGGGCAGAGAGCAAGAGGCGAGUAAAGAGAAUGGUGGUUUCAGAGAUCUCUCUUCCCAAAUGUGUAAAUAUUCUAUACCAGAUAAGUUUAAAUAAGAAAUUUAAUUGCUGCUUAAUUUUUGAUUAUGUACUUUAUCUGUAUAGCAAGCUUUGUCGUCAGAAGUUUUUAUAUCGAUUUAAAUUGCUGCUCUUUAGCAGCCAAACAGGAGCAACAUGUAAAAUUUUUGAACUUACUGUGUCUAAUCAUCAUUUGUUAGUCUGUAGUUAAUGUCAACAGUUAAUUUAUGAACCCACGAUCGUUCCACACUGCACCAAAGUCAGUCAUAAGAGAAAUUGAAUAUUCUGGAGCAUUGAUUGCAGCAAGGUGGCUCCUUUGUGUGCAGCAGGUGUAGUAGUCUUCAUUUUCAUGGUACUUUUUAAUAUUAAUUACCUAAGCUGCCAUGCAUUUUUUUUUACAGUUUUCAAGGAAGAGCACAGAACAAUUUCUCAUUUCAUAUUUGGAGUAUGAAAGUAGAUUCUAUUUUGUAAUGCUGAUAAUACCUAAAGGUGCAUUGAAUGCUUGGAAGAAUGCUUUUUGAUGUUGAUUUGGACCUGUUCAUGAUUCAGAAGGAAAACAAACUUUUCUGGAUUUUUUUUCCCUCAGGUCUGAGUAGCAUUGCCUUAAAUCCUACCCAGUUAAAACAUUGGUUUAUUUACAUGAUGUUCAGAUUUUCCAGUGAAAAAUACCCUUCUGAACAAAACAUGUACUUACUCUCCAAAAGGCAUCUGUGCUAUUGCAAACACUCCUUGAGAUUUUAAGGGAAUUCUAAUGUUGUACCCUUUCGUGGCAGCUUUGACCGUUGGCAUAGCCAUUUGUUAUGUAGUGGUAGUGACUUUCCUGCUAUGCAGGAAUCCCUCCCAUGAAGUGUAUGUUUUACAUGAUGUGUGCCUCUUCACACAGUAAAUAGUUUCUUGUUAAUGUAUGUUUGAGGAGUUUGAACGUCAGUGUCAUUUACCCACAAAGUUAUUCAAGUUAUAAAAGGUUAUACAAUAAUUUAACAACUACUUUUUUUAUUCUGUCGGGUUACUGACCUCACUUUAUGUAAAUAUUUCGCAUGACAAAUUCAGUAACUCGUCUAUUUCAGCAUGCAUAAGACUUUUCACUAGGGAAACUGAUAAAGCUUGAGUCAACUAAAUCUGCCUUCAUACUUUAUCAAGGGGAACCAAGCCUGCUGUGCUUACAUCAGCAUCUGGAAGACUUUCCACUCCUCUAAUCUGUGUACACAUCUCCAAGCAAGGAAGAAAAAACAAACUCUGCUCAGACGCCUAUGAAACACCUGAAUGAACUUUGAUGAAGUACAGUCUGAGUUACCAUCAUGCACAAGUAGAAAUGCUCUUGGACUUGUUUUCCUGUUGUUUGUGGAACCUACGCGUUUGAAUGGCUUGAACGUUGCAUCUUUUAAAGUUAUUUUUUAAGGUUUCUUGGCAUUUAUCCUAGUUGUCUGUGUUUGGCAAUGUGCUGUUAAAGUAAUAGACUUUUAAUCUUUAUGUAUUUUUUGUUUUCUCUGGAGUACUUGGACAGAUGUUAUAGUGGUUUCUUUUAGGAAAAUCUGUCAUUAAAAAAGUUAUAGCCUUGCAAAUAACCACUCACAGUAUUUGAGUCACAGUUUAUUCUAGUGAGACGUAAAGAGUGCUGACUUCAUUUAUUUUUCUACCUAUAUACCUACUGGAAAACAGGAAGACUAAUGUUUUCAAAU